ACACUCCUACGGGAGGCAGCAGUGGGGAAUAUUGGACAAUGGGCGCAAGCCUGAUCCAGCCAUGCCGCGUGAGUGAUGAAGGCCCUAGGGUUGUAAAGCUCUUUCACCGGUGAAGAUAAUGACGGUAACCGGAGAAGAAGCCCCGGCUAACUUCGUGCCAGCAGCCGCGGUAAUACGAAGGGGGCUAGCGUUGUUCGGAUUUACUGGGCGUAAAGCGCACGUAGGCGGACUAUUAAGUCAGGGGUGAAAUCCCGGGGCUCAACCCCGGAACUGCCUUUGAUACUGGUAGUCUUGAGUUCGAGAGAGGUGAGUGGAAUUCCGAGUGUAGAGGUGAAAUUCGUAGAUAUUCGGAGGAACACCAGUGGCGAAGGCGGCUCACUGGCUCGAUACUGACGCUGAGGUGCGAAAGCGGGGGGAGCAAACAGGAUUAGAAACCCCGGUAGUCCCA
Molecule: ribosomal RNA, 448 nt
Filed under: uncultured organism
Description: partial 16S ribosomal RNA
Rfam family: Bacterial small subunit ribosomal RNA
Source: RNAcentral